GGGGAAGGCUGCGCCAGGCGGGCCGGAAGCCUGGCGGUGGCGUGCAGGAGCCCCGCCCUCCUGGGCUGGAUUCAGCCGGGGGCGGGGCCGCGGGCGGGGCCUGUGGCAGCGGGAAUCCCGACCCCGCCCCUUUCCCCACCCCUCCAUUUCUCGCCAUGGCCCCUGCACUGCUCCUGAUCCCUGCUGCCCUCGCCUCUUUCAUCCUGGCCUUUGGCACCGGAGUGGAGUUCGUGCGCUUUACCUCCCUUCGGCCACUUCUUGGAGGGAUCCCGGAGUCUGGUGGUCCGGCUGGUGAUGCGGUACUGGGAGCCCAUACCCAAAGGCCCUGUGUUGUGGGAGGCUCGGGCUGAGCCAUGGGCCACCUGGGUGCCGCUCCUCUGCUUUGUGCUCCAUGUCAUCUCCUGGCUCCUCAUCUUUAGCAUCCUUCUCGUCUUUGACUAUGCUGAGCUCAUGGGCCUCAAACAGGUAUACUACCAUGUGCUGGGGCUGGGCGAGCCUCUGGCCCUGAAGUCUCCCCGGGCUCUCAGACUCUUCUCCCACCUGCGCCACCCAGUGUGUGUGGAGCUGCUGACAGUGCUGUGGGUGGUGCCUACCCUGGGCACGGACCGUCUCCUCCUUGCUUUCCUCCUUACCCUCUACCUGGGCCUGGCUCACGGGCUUGAUCAGCAAGACCUCCGCUACCUCCGGGCCCAGCUACAAAGAAAACUCCACCUGCUCUCUCGGCCCCAGGAUGGGGAGGCAGAGUGAGGAGCUCACUCUGGUUACAAGCCCUGUUCUUCCUCUCCCACUGAAUUCUAAAUCCUUAACAUCCAGGCCCUGGCUGCUUCAUGCCAGAGGCCCAAAUCCAUGGACUGAAGGAGAUGCCCCUUCUACUACUUGAGACUUUAUUCUCUGGGUCCAGCUCCAUACCCUAAAUUCUGAGUUUCAGCCACUGAACUCCAAGGUCCACUUCUCACCAGCAAGGAAGAGUGGGGUAUGGAAGUCAUCUGUCCCUUCACUGUUUAGAGCAUGACACUCUCCCCCUCAACAGCCUCCUGAGAAGGAAAGGAUCUGCCCUGACCACUCCCCUGGCACUGUUACUUGCCUCUGCGCCUCAGGGGUCCCCUUCUGCACCGCUGGCUUCCACUCCAAGAAGGUGGACCAGGGUCUGCAAGUUCAACGGUCAUAGCUGUCCCUCCAGGCCCCAACCUUGCCUCACCACUCCCGGCCCUAGUCUCUGCACCUCCUUAGGCCCUGCCUCUGGGCUCAGACCCCAACCUAGUCAAGGGGAUUCUCCUGCUCUUAACUCGAUGACUUGGGGCUCCCUGCUCUCCCGAGGAAGAUGCUCUGCAGGAAAAUAAAAGUCAGCCUUUUUCUACAUA
This 1361-nucleotide long non-coding RNA is filed under the name Homo sapiens (human). Its description in RNAcentral is "non-protein coding lnc-NRM-1:2". The record is from RNAcentral. Lineage: Eukaryota; Metazoa; Chordata; Mammalia; Primates; Hominidae.